UGGGCGUUAAGUUGCAGGGUAUAGACCCGAAACCCGGUGAUCUAGCCAUGGGCAGGUUGAAGGUUGGGUAACACUAACUGGAGGACCGAACCGACUAAUGUUGAAAAAUUAGCGGAUGACCUGUGGCUGGGGGUGAAAGGCCAAUCAAACCGGGAGAUAGCUGGUUCUCCCCGAAAGCUAUUUAGGUAGCGCCUCGUGAAUUCAUCUCCGGGGGUAGAGCACUGUUUCGGCUAGGGGGCCAUCCCGGCUUACCAACCCGAUGCAAACUGCGAAUACCGGAGAAUGUUAUCACGGGAGACACACGGCGGGUGCUAACGUCCGUCGUGAAGAGGGAAACAACCCAGACCGCCAGCUAAGGUCCCAAAGUCAUGGUUAAGUGGGAAACGAUGUGGGAAGGCCCAGACAGCCAGGAUGUUGGCUUAGAAGCAGCCAUCAUUUAAAGAAAGCGUAAUAGCUCACUGGUCGAGUCGGCCUGCGCGGAAGAUGUAACGGGGCUAAACCAUGCACCGAAGCUGCGGCAGCGAACGUAUCACCCAAGACAACUUUACGGAGUUGACGAUUGACGGAGCGAAGCGACGUCAAAGCGUUCAUUAAAGUCGAGUUGGCUUAGGG
RNAcentral lists this ribosomal RNA (612 nucleotides) under Salmonella enterica. RNAcentral's name for it is "partial 23S ribosomal RNA". It matches the Rfam family "Bacterial large subunit ribosomal RNA", at positions 689 to 1233 of the family's 2925-position model. RNAcentral also lists the same sequence under 1 other name. The record is from RNAcentral. Lineage: Bacteria; Pseudomonadati; Pseudomonadota; Gammaproteobacteria; Enterobacterales; Enterobacteriaceae.